This 254-nucleotide ribosomal RNA is filed under the name uncultured bacterium. RNAcentral's name for it is "partial 16S ribosomal RNA". It matches the Rfam family "Bacterial small subunit ribosomal RNA", at positions 524 to 776 of the family's 1533-position model. The record is from RNAcentral.
UACGUAGGUGGCUAGCGUUGUCCGGAUUUACUGGCGUAAAGAGCGCGCAGGCGGUCGUUCAAGUCGAGUGUGAAAGCCCCCGGCUCAACUGGGGAGGGUCACUCGAUACUGAUCGACUCGAAGGCAGGAGAGGGAAGCGGAAUUCCCGGUGUAGUGGUGAAAUGCGCAGAUAUCAGGAGGAACACCGGUGGCGAAGGCGGAUCUCUGGGCCGAUACUGACGCUGAGGAGGCGAAAAGCGUGGGGAGCGAACAGG